CCUACGGGGGGCAACAGUGGGGAAUAUUGCACAAUGGGGGAAACCCUGAUGCAGCGACGCCGCGUGAGCGAAGAAGUAUUUCGGUAUGUAAAGCUCUAUCAGCAGGAACGAGACAAGACGGUACCUGACUAAGAAGCCCCGGCUAACUACGUGCCAGCAGCCGCGGUAAUACGUAGGGGGCAAGCGUUAUCCGGAAUCAAUGGGUGUAAAGCGCUCGUAGGCGGUAUGUCAAGUCAAGGGUGAAAUCCCCGCGCUCAACGUGGGAACUGCCUUUGAAACUGGCAAACUGGAGUGUGUGAGAGGAUAGUGGAAUUCCAGGUGUAGGAGUGAAAUCCGUAGAUAUCUGGAGGAACAUCAGUGGCGAAGGCGACUAUCUGGCACAUAACUGACGCUGAGGAGCGAAAGCGUGGGUAGCAAACAGGAUUAGAUACCCCAGUAGUC
This 441-nucleotide ribosomal RNA is filed under the name uncultured bacterium. Its description in RNAcentral is "partial 16S ribosomal RNA". It matches the Rfam family "Bacterial small subunit ribosomal RNA", at positions 338 to 795 of the family's 1533-position model. The record is from RNAcentral.